Jatropha curcas is the source of this 1473-nucleotide non-coding RNA. NCBI's taxonomy places the organism in Eukaryota, Viridiplantae, Streptophyta, Magnoliopsida, Malpighiales, Euphorbiaceae. The record is from RefSeq and is a predicted model, not a curated record.
CAUCAGAAGUUAGCAGAAGACCAAUUCGCGAGAGGAUUUGGCAAAUUUUGCCCUGCUGAUUACGAUCUCGACUUCCUUUUUGCUAAAUUCCGUUCAAAUUCUGGUACGGAACGGAAAACACCAAAGCUGAAAAUGUAUCUUCCCAGUCCUUGAAGAUCAGAGUCCAACCUAGAUGUCUCGAUCUCCUUGUGCAACUAGCAAAAGAAAUUUUCUGGUACUCGUACACUUGAUUGGGGGCUUGGAUUUUACUCGAGAUUACGAGAAUUUUCCUGGUUUAAGAACCUCCUGUUAGCAAUUGUGUCGUAUGUCAAUAUCGAUAUCCGUUCAGAUUAUGAAUGACUUCCGUUUCUGCAGAAUUUUCCAUCUGUAAAUCAACUGCUAGAAGUUAAGAUAAACAUUUCCUCGGAUAAAGAAAUUAUUAGCUUUGCCCACUAAAUAAAAGCAAAAAUAUGGCUCAUGAGCUUUGUGAAUCUUGAAGAUGCAGGCAAUUGGCUUCAGUAAAUUAUUAGGAAAUAAGAUCCAAGUCAAUCCAUUUUGUUUGAGACGAGGUUAACGAUUCAAGAUUUGACAAAUUUCCCAUUCCCCGAGGUACUUGGCCUGUUAGAUGAUAUAUUGGGGUGGAGAUUGGAGAGAGAAAUCUCAGACUUGAACGGAUCAUGCUGUCUUCAAAAAGGAUCGUGCGACAUGGACCACCUUCUUCAUGCUGAUCAUAUCUUGAAUUUCCUCUGUAAGAAGAGCACAAACGCAUGGAACAUCAACAUUCUUCACUAGAGCACAGCACCCAGGUGAUGGUGAAAUUCUUGGUCCUGACUUUUCUACAGAUUUUUGACAUUGUGAUACAAGACCCACAAUAUCAGUGUUACAGCUAUGGGCUGCAGCCAUUUGGCUAGAUAUUGGCAUUCCAACUGCUAUGAGUAUGGGCAAGAUCAAGCAAUACUGGAACCUACGACUUGAAACAGCCAUUUCUGGGUGCUAAGGUAUCGCCAGGAUUGUGUUAUAUAUACAGAAAACAGCCAUUAAUCACAGGGUUUUAUUGGAAAUCUGAAGAGAUUAGAGUUUUAAGUUGAGAGGCCACUUGUUAGUGAAAUGUAAGGGGUCGAUCACUAGGUAAGUAGAGAUUGUUGAGAGUUUAUACUGGCUUUUCUAACAUUUCUGAUAAUGUUCAUGUCAUCAUCGCACGAAAUCUGCACUGAUCAUUGCCAUCUGGGAAUCAUUUUAUAGUUUGUAUUUUUCUUGUUUUUGUUAUUAAUUGUUUUUUGUAACUGAAACCAAAUGAAUGAGGCUAGUCUGUCCAUUUACGAUCCAAAAGUGGCUUAGAAAGCCUGAUCUUAAUGGGCUCUGUUAUGAUCAGAGUUUCAGGGCCCAGUCUUAAUGGGCUGGGACAGUGUCUAUUUCGUGAGUCAUCAGUUGCUUUGUAAAUGUGGUGAACUGGAAUAAAUGAUGACACGUCAGUUUGCCAGUGUCAUUUCAAAA